Molecule: ribosomal RNA, 432 nt
Filed under: uncultured bacterium
Lineage: Bacteria
Description: partial 16S ribosomal RNA
Rfam family: Bacterial small subunit ribosomal RNA
Source: RNAcentral
AACGAACGCUGGCGGCAUGCCUAACACAUGCAAGUCGAACGAGACCUUCCGGUCUAGCUGCGUACGGGUGCGUAAGGCGUGGGAACCUGCCCUUAGGUUCGGAAUCACUCCCAGAAAGGGGUGCUAAUCCCGGAUAAUGUCUUCGGACCAAAGUUUUAUGGGCGUCGUAUGUGCCCGAGUUGGGUUGGCUAGUUGGUAGGGUACAAGCCUACCAAGGUGACGAUCCAGAGGUGGUCAGAGAGGAUGAUCAGCCACACUGGGACUGGGACACGGCCCAGAAUCGGACGGGAGGCAGGAGAGGGGAAAAUUGGACAAUGGGCGAAAGCCUGAUCCCGCAUGGCCGCUGGAGGGAUGAAGGCUGUAGGGUUGUAAAGCGCUGUUACCCGCCAUGAUAAUGAGAGUACCGGGGGAAUAAGCCCCGCCUAGCUCCGU